ACAACAACAACAACAACAACAACAACAACAACUACUGCUACUACUUCUACUACUGCUACUACUUCUACUACUACUACUACUACUACUGCUACUACUUCUACUACUACUACUACUGCUACUACUACUACUACUACUACUACUACUACUACUACUACUACUACUACUACUACUACUAUUACUACUGCUGCUUCUACAACAACAACAACAACUACUACUACUACUACUACUGCUUUCCUUCUCUACCUUUCGUGCUUCCUUCCUUCCUUACACCUACCAUUAUUGUCUUUCCUCCUCCUCCUCCUCCUCCUCCUCCUCCUCCUCCUCCUCCUGAUUAACACCACACAUCGUAACUUCUUUCCCUGGUUGACGUUGGUGGUGACCGUAGUGGUGAUGAUGGUGGUGGUUGUGGUGGUGGUGGUGGUGAUAAUGGUGAUGGUAGCAUAGGUUGUAGUGGUGUUUGUCUUGUUGAUGUAAGAGGAUGAACACACACACACACACACACACACAUCCUUCUCCUCCUCGUCCUUUUCUUCGUUCUCACCAUCAUAGACAUCAUCAUCAUCAUCAUCAUACAAAGACACAAACAGCAGCAGGAGUCCUGUUGUCCCUUACUAGGCUGUUCAUGAUAAGCUUCAUUACCUAAUCUAAAGUAAGAGACGUAAGGUAGUAAGUCAAAGAAAGUCGUCUCCCCACCCAUCGUUCUCUCCUACCAGACCUAUGUAUAUGUAUACCUGCCGCGUCUCAAUGUAUAAUGAUAGUAAUGAUGUUGUUGUUAUUAGUAGUGGUGGUGUUGAUGGUGGCAGUGUUGGUGGUGGGGGCGGUGUUGUGGGUGGCAGCAGCGGUGUAGGGCGGGCUGUAUCCCAACAAUCAAUUACACCAGGUAUUGUCGGCUGCCUCGCUCGAUUAGUGAAGGUGCCAAAUUAAUAACCGCUAUUCGUCCGCCUGAAUUUACGACUGGCCGGCCAAUCAGCGCGGCCCAUAAAUUCCAGGUAACGAGCCCUCAUUGGUCGAAGCACCUCUCGUUCGAUCGCCCAAAACGCGCCUUUGUUAUGUAAAAUUUAUCAAGCGAUCCCUCUAAACGUCCUCGAAGUGUGUCCGGGGCGUGGUGCCUUGUCAGCGUACCCUGGUCCAGCGGAACAGCAGCAGCGGGCGUCAAUCACUCAAUCCCUCCCUGCCUCUGGACUCCCGCUGCUGACGCCCAAGUUCCGGCCGCCGCCUUGCCGCCCGCCCACUCGAACACGUCCACCCAUCCUGCUGCUGAUGACGAUAUUUGUCAUAAAGUGAAGUUGACCUCGCCUCGCUGCCUCCCACCCGACAGAACACCCCCGCCAUCAGAAUACCAGGGUCACGUCCGGGUCCAGCUGUGUGUGUGAUGGAUGGGCUGGAGUCGGCGACCGGCCACUGCUGCUCUUCCACCCCCGCGGCGGCCCUCGCACACACCCCCCGCCGACACUACACCGCCAUUGAGGGUGAAUACAAGCCAGUGGACGACGCAGUUCACUUUUACACUCGCGACCACAGGACUGACGGCUGGAUCUUUGCACUCUGGCGGUCUCCACGUCAACACUGUUCCAAACCAUACAUGCGGCACUCGGGAGGGCGUGGCGGCGGGCGCGGGGAGGCAGGACUGUGACAUGACGGCUCUCCAGUGGUGCACGGGAAGGGGCUUGUUGUGCUGCACAAGGUGUGUGCCGUACUGCCGCUGCAGGGCGUCGCGAGCCACGGCGUGCAGCAGGCGGUACAGGGGAGCCACCUGGAUGUACAGCCUCGCCACUGCCGCCCG
Scylla paramamosain (green mud crab) is the source of this 1783-nucleotide long non-coding RNA. RefSeq lists it as uncharacterized. Lineage: Eukaryota; Metazoa; Arthropoda; Malacostraca; Decapoda; Portunidae. The transcript has 5 exons. The record is from RefSeq and is a predicted model, not a curated record.